Molecule: ribosomal RNA, 498 nt
Filed under: uncultured bacterium
Lineage: Bacteria
Description: partial 16S ribosomal RNA
Rfam family: Bacterial small subunit ribosomal RNA
Source: RNAcentral
GACGAACGCUGGCGGCGUGCCUAAUACAUGCAAGUCGAGCGGACGAAUCGAAAGCGUGCUUUUGAUUCGUUAGCGGCGGACGGGUGAGUAACACGUGGGCAACCUGCCCUGUAGACGGGGAUAACACCGAGAAAUCGGUGCUAAUACCGGAUAACACGAAAUGUCGCAUGACGUUUCGUUGAAAGACGGCGCAAGCUGUCGCUACAGGAUGGGCCCGCGGCGCAUUAGCUAGUUGGUGAGGUAACGGCUCACCAAGGCGACGAUGCGUAGCCGACCUGAGAGGAUGAUCGGCCACACUGGGACUGAGACACGGCCCAGACUCCUACGGGAGGCAGCAGUAAGGAAUCUUCCGCAAUGGACGAAAGUCUGACGGAGCAACGCCGCGUGAGCGAAGAAGGCCUUCGGGUCGUAAAGCUCUGUUGUUAGGGAAGAACAAGUAACGCAGUAACUGGCGUUACCGUGACGGUACCUAACGAGAAAGCCACGGCUAACUACGUG